GCCCCUGGCGGGGUUUCGCUUUGGCUUUGGCUCUGCGCAGGCCAGCUCUGGGAAGCCGAGGGGAGGGAAAGGGAAGAAGUUGCAAGAGUUUGUUCCAGGCCUCCCGGAGCCGUGCUGGGAGACCUAGCGCGUGGGGAGCCUGCGGGCUCGGUAGGUGGCGCGUGCCGCUCUGGAUCUCGGGUGAUUUUAUUUAUUUACUCAUGAGAGGCAGAGACACAGGCAGAGGGAGAAGCAGGCUUCCCGCAAGGAGUCUGAUGCAGGACUCGAUCCUCCACCCCGGAAUCAGGACCUGAGCCAAAGGAAGACCCUCAACUGCGGAGCCAUCCAGGCAUCCUGAAGUUGGUCAAAUACUAUAGAGUAGUUACAUCAGCUUGUUUUUCCUUAAUUUGUUCAUCUUCCUGUACGUUUUGUGAUAGUCUCCUUUUUUACAUACUGUAUGUGGAGCUUAUCUAUUUGAAACCACAUUUUAAAAUCCUUUUCUUUCAUUUGGAACAUUAGUCCUUAAUAAAAUGUAACUACUAAUAAAUGGGGAUUUAUGGCUAACAUCUUAUUUUUUUCAGUGUUUAUCUCUUCCUAAUUCAUAAACUAGUAUAUUGAUUGCCUCUAUUCCAUCAACCUCAUAUCUAGGCUUUAUUUCCUUUUUUAUGUUGGACACAAUGGUAAACUCUAAUCACUGAUUCCUUGCUUUCAGUGUAAUGAUAUUUUGUAUAUUUUUCAUAUUUUUAUUCUUGUUUUGUGAGCACUGACGCUGGGCAUUCUUCACUUAUUCAGAAAUGGUUCUCAAGUUACUUUGUUAAUCAUGUUUGCUGUGAUUUUGAGUGGCUUUUCUUUGUACAGUUAAAGAUCUUUUAAAACAUAUAUCAUCAAGACUAUUCAUGAUCAUCAUUAAAUGUUUGGUAUGCAUCUA
Long non-coding RNA from Nyctereutes procyonoides (raccoon dog), 907 nucleotides. RefSeq lists it as uncharacterized. Lineage: Eukaryota; Metazoa; Chordata; Mammalia; Carnivora; Canidae. The record is from RefSeq and is a predicted model, not a curated record. The transcript has 2 exons.